Molecule: ribosomal RNA, 253 nt
Filed under: uncultured bacterium
Lineage: Bacteria
Description: partial 16S ribosomal RNA
Rfam family: Bacterial small subunit ribosomal RNA
Source: RNAcentral
UACAGAGGGUGCGAGCGUUAAUCGGAAUUACUGGGCGUAAAGCGCGCGUAGGCGGCUUUGCAAGCCGGAUGUGAAAUCCCCGGGCUCAACCUGGGAACUGCAUUUGUGACUGCAUAGCUAGAGUACGGUAGAGGGGGAUGGAAUUCCGCGUGUAGCAGUGAAAUGCGUAGAUAUGCGGAGGAACACCGAUGGCGAAGGCAAUCCCCUGGACCUGUACUGACGCUCAUGCACGAAAGCGUGGGGAGCAAACAGG